AACACACAUGAUGAUUUUUUUUCAAAGGGACUUAAUGCUGAAGUGCCUGAUGUAUUUGACUAAACUGAUGUGU
Molecule: small nucleolar RNA, 73 nt
Organism: Protopterus annectens (West African lungfish)
Lineage: Eukaryota; Metazoa; Chordata; Ceratodontiformes; Protopteridae
Product: small nucleolar RNA SNORD82
Exons: 1
Source: RefSeq, a predicted model, not a curated record